UACGGAGGGGGCUAGCGUUGUUCGGAAUUACUGGGCGUAAAGCGCGCGUAGGCGGCUUUGUAAGUUAGAGGUGAAAGCCCAGGGCUCAACCCUGGAAUUGCCUUUAAGACUGCAUCGCUAGAAUUGUGGAGAGGUAAGUGGAAUUCCGAGUGUAGAGGUGAAAUUCGUAGAUAUUCGGAAGAACACCAGUGGCGAAGGCGACUUACUGGACACAUAUUGACGCUGAGGAGCGAAAGCGUGGGGAGCGAACAGG
This 253-nucleotide ribosomal RNA is filed under the name uncultured bacterium. RNAcentral's name for it is "partial 16S ribosomal RNA". It matches the Rfam family "Bacterial small subunit ribosomal RNA", at positions 524 to 776 of the family's 1533-position model. The record is from RNAcentral.